Gadus morhua (Atlantic cod) is the source of this 453-nucleotide non-coding RNA. The record is from the annotation of a RefSeq genome assembly. Lineage: Eukaryota; Metazoa; Chordata; Actinopteri; Gadiformes; Gadidae.
UGAGUCUCCUCCCAUUUGACUCUAACAUAUAUUUCCGAAAACGAACUGUUGGCAUCAGUCCUCCAUUGCCACUGCCCUGGGUCUGCAACACUCCCACCAUGAAAGUCUCAGAUAGUUUGUUCCUCAUGGCCCUUCUUUCAGCGGUUCGUGGCCAGCAACUCACCUCCUCAGAAUCGGUGGUCAAAAGGCAAGGAGAACCGGUUACACUGUCCUGUCACGUGACCGGAGUCUCCCUCACUUAUCUUCACUGGAUUCGCCAGAGGUCAGGACAUGGCCUGGAGUGGAUUGGACGGAUAGAUGAUGGAACCGGAACAAUUUUUGCAGCGUCUCUUCAAGGGCAGUUCACCAUCACCAAAGACAGCACCAGAGAGGAGGUUUACUUAAAUGUGAAGAGUCUGAAGCCAGAGGACUCAGCUCUUUAUUAUUGUGCUAAAGAGGCACAUUGACACAGAA